GGUUGAUAGCCAGCCAACCAAACCGUGCAUCCCCAGUUUCCCAGUUCUUGUGGAAUUCUCAGUGAGAAUAAUGGAGCACGAGAAGCAGCUUAGCAUACUUUAUCAAAAACAAGGUCGUGCGACCCAGUUUCCAAGCAAAGCUGCUCGUGACAAAUGGCUUCAAAAGGAAAUUGAUGUUCUUGAACGAGUUCUUUCUUCAAAUUUGGCACAGGCAUGGGAGUUGAUGAUUCUGAAACUGACGCUAUAAUAAAUUGUGAGAUCAAACUAGAAUUCUGAUGUUCAUAUACCUGUUGGAUCAUUUCAUGCCUUGUUAAGAGAUUUGUAUUAGUUUUCUGUUAGCUUGUUUUAAAAUGAACUUUUAGUCAACCAGGUGGCAUUGGGUGAAAAAAGUGCUUAUCUAACUUCCCAUCAUUCAUACAUACAUAAAGGAGAGGCAUCAAGGCAUAGGGGAGUGACAGCGAAAGUAAAGGCUGUUGUUGAUGCAACUUCUGCUGGCAUCUUCAUUGUCAUCACAAAGUGUGUUCUUCAAGACUUGGUUGGUUUCAACAUUUUACUUAAUUUUGUUAGAAAACUAGUUCUGUUGAUGUAAUGACUUUGUUGGAUAUAUGGAUGAAUGUAUUGGAUUUUAACAUAAAUGAAUGUGUUUUGGAUGUGAUGUCA
Molecule: long non-coding RNA, 660 nt
Organism: Rosa rugosa (rugosa rose)
Lineage: Eukaryota; Viridiplantae; Streptophyta; Magnoliopsida; Rosales; Rosaceae
Exons: 3
Source: RefSeq, a predicted model, not a curated record